ACGGGGUGCAGCAGGCGCGAAACCUUCACAAUGUGCGAAAGCGCGAUGAGGGGAUCCCAAGUGCUUGCUCGUAAGAGUAAGCUGUUUUUAUGUCUAAAACGCAUAGAGAGUAAGGGCUGGGUAAGACGGGUGCCAGCCGCCGCGGUAAUACCUGCAGCUCAAGUGGUGACCGCUAUUAUUGGGCCUAAAACAUUCGUAGCCGGUUUGGUAAAUGCCUGGGUAAAUCGUGUAGCUUAACUAUACGAAUUCCGGGUAGACUGCCAAACUUGAGACCGGGAGAAGCUAGAGGUACUCCUUGGGUAGAGGUGAAAUCCUGUAAUCCUUGGGGGACCACCAGUGGCGAAGGCGUCUGGCUAGAACGGGUCCGACGGUAAGGGACGAAGCCCUGGGGCACAAACCGGAUUAGAUACCCGGGUAGCCCAGGGUGUAAACGCUGCGAGCUUGGUGUUGGGGGUCCCACGUGGGCGUCCAGUGCCGGAGAGAAGUUGUUAAGCAAGCUGCCUGGAAGUACGUCGCAA
Molecule: ribosomal RNA, 518 nt
Filed under: uncultured archaeon
Lineage: Archaea
Description: bacterial SSU rRNA
Rfam family: Archaeal small subunit ribosomal RNA
Source: RNAcentral